This 982-nucleotide long non-coding RNA is filed under the name Gossypium barbadense (sea-island cotton). Its description in RNAcentral is "long non-coding RNA (GBAR_LNC009252)". Lineage: Eukaryota; Viridiplantae; Streptophyta; Magnoliopsida; Malvales; Malvaceae. The record is from RNAcentral.
UUUUAACAUUCUUCUAAAAAAAAAAACAAAAGAAAUCUCUCAACUCUCUCUUGUUCUCCAGAAUCUGGCCAAAGGGGGGUGGAUUCCACGAUGGCCACUGUCGUUGACGAUAGGCUCCGCCCGUCUCUGGUGGCCGGAAAGCACCAUAAGACCCCCAUUUUGAACGUUUUGGCUACUGGAGCCUGGAUCCGGAGAUGGUUUUCAUCACAACUCUGCCAAAAAUGGUAAAAUCUGAAAGAAACCCUUCGACUUCUCUCUUGUCACACCGAAAAAAAGCCGUCCAUCAUCGGGGACGACGUCCUCUCCCUCACUCGCGGCGAUGGAAUUCGAAACAAGUCGGUAAGUUUUAAUUUUUAUUAUAUCUUAUGCCCUUCUUUUUUUUAAAUGAUAAAAAUAAAAAUAGAUAACAGGUAAAAUGAAGCAAAUCACCUUUUGCAAUUUCUUUUUUUGGAUUUCUUUAAUGCUUUUUAGCCGAAUACAAAAAGUUUGCUACUGUUUUUACUGUAUAUUUGCUUCGUUUCUGCUUUCCCCCUUUUUUGCUUGUUUGCAGGCAUUGACGAAGGCGCAGAAGGAAUUUUUUUCCAUUUCGGUGCAAGCUUGCAGAAGGACCUCGGGAUAAGGCGCCUCGAGACAAGGAGUGGGCAACGUGGCCGAGGAGAAACAACGCGGGAGAAGCCUUUAGGGUUUUGUUUUACUGAAAAUGUUUAAUCACUUUGGGCCAUUGGGCUUGUAUUUGGGUUAGGGUUAAUUUUGGGCUUCAUUUAUUUUUUUGGGCUUGUAACAAAAACUUGGAUUUUAAAAACUUUUAUUUUCUGGCAAGCCAGGCAAAUUGGACCUAUUACAUAGGUUAUCAUUUAAUACAUUAAUAAUUCAUUGAUUUUGACAUCUUCAGAUAUUUAUAUUAUGGUUAAUUUUAAAAUAAUGACGACGUACUUUAACUAUUAUUACUUAUGACACGCCCGUAAUGUUGGUAAAAUUUUUU